UGGGGAAUAUUGCGCAAUGGGGGGAACCCUGACGCAGCCAUGCCGCGUGAAUGAAGAAGGCCUUCGGGUUGUAAAGUUCUUUCGGUAUUGAGGAAGGUUGAUGUGUUAAUAGCACAUCAAAUUGACGUUAAAUACAGAAGAAGCACCGGCUAACUCCGUGCCAGCAGCCGCGGUAAUACGGGGGGUGCGAGCGUUAAUCGGAAUAACUGGGCGUAAAGGGCACGCAGGCGGUUAUUUAAGUGAGGUGUGAAAGCCCCGCUUAACCUGGGAAUUGCAUUUCAGACUGGGUAACUAGAGUACUUUAGGGAGGGGUAGAAUUCCACGUGUAGCGGUGAAAUGCGUAGAGAUGUGGAGGAAUACCGAAGGCGAAGGCAGCCCCUUGGGAAUGUACUGACGCUCAUGUGCGAAAGCGUGGGGAGCAAACAGGAUUAGAUACCCUGGUAGUCCACGCUGUAAACGCUGUCGAUUUGGGGGUUGGGGUUUAACUCUGGCGCCCGUAGCUAACGUGAUAAAUCGACCGCCUGGGGAGUACGGCCGCAAGGUUA
RNAcentral lists this ribosomal RNA (545 nucleotides) under uncultured bacterium. RNAcentral describes it as "bacterial SSU rRNA". It matches the Rfam family "Bacterial small subunit ribosomal RNA", at positions 355 to 896 of the family's 1533-position model. The record is from RNAcentral.